GGAUGCGAUCAUACCAGCACUAAAGCACCGGAUCCCAUCAGAACUCCGAAGUUAAGCGUGCUUGGGCGAGAGUAGUACUAGGAUGGGUGGGUGACCUCCUGGGAAGUCCUCGUGUUGCAUUCC
Molecule: ribosomal RNA, 123 nt
Filed under: Triticum aestivum (bread wheat)
Lineage: Eukaryota; Viridiplantae; Streptophyta; Magnoliopsida; Poales; Poaceae
Source: RNAcentral